AAUGAAUUGCCUGAUAAAAGGAUUACCUUGAUAGGGUAAAUUAUAUAAGACAUUCUUAUAUUCAUUA
RNAcentral lists this transfer RNA (67 nucleotides) under Dixella aestivalis. RNAcentral's name for it is "tRNA-Ile". Lineage: Eukaryota; Metazoa; Arthropoda; Insecta; Diptera; Dixidae. The record is from RNAcentral.